This 1334-nucleotide ribosomal RNA is filed under the name Sinomonas atrocyanea. RNAcentral describes it as "bacterial SSU rRNA". It matches the Rfam family "Bacterial small subunit ribosomal RNA", at positions 88 to 1428 of the family's 1533-position model. The record is from RNAcentral. Lineage: Bacteria; Bacillati; Actinomycetota; Actinomycetes; Micrococcales; Micrococcaceae.
UGGAUUAGUGGCGAACGGGUGAGUAACACGUGAGCAACCUGCCCUUGACUCUGGGAUAAGCCUGGGAAACUGGGUCUAAUACCGGAUACAACCUCCUGCCGCAUGGUGGGGGGUGGAAAGCCUUGUGCGGUCUUGGAUGGGCUCGCGGCCUAUCAGCUUGUUGGUGGGGUGAUGGCCUACCAAGGCGACGACGGGUAGCCGGCCUGAGAGGGUGACCGGCCACACUGGGACUGAGACACGGCCCAGACUCCUACGGGAGGCAGCAGUGGGGAAUAUUGCACAAUGGGCGGAAGCCUGAUGCAGCGACGCCGCGUGGGGGAUGACGGCCUUCGGGUUGUAAACCCCUUUCGGCAGGGAACAAGCCCCUUGGGGUGAGGGUACCUGCGGAAGAAGCGCCGGCUAACUACGUGCCAGCAGCCGCGGUAAUACGUAGGGCGCGAGCGUUAUCCGGAAUUAUUGGGCGUAAAGAGCUCGUAGGCGGUUUGUCGCGUCUGCUGUGAAAGCCCGGGGCUCAACCCCGGGUCUGCAGUGGGUACGGGCAGGCUGGAGUGCAGUAGGGGAGACUGGAAUUCCUGGUGUAGCGGUGAAAUGCGCAGAUAUCAGGAGGAACACCGAUGGCGAAGGCAGGUCUCUGGGCUGUAACUGACGCUGAGGAGCGAAAGCAUGGGGAGCGAACAGGAUUUAGAUACCCCUGGUAGUCCAUGCCGUAAACGUUGGGCACUAGGUGUGGGGGCCAUUCCACGGUUUCCGCGCCGCAGCUAACGCAUUAAGUGCCCCGCCUGGGGAGUACGGCCGCAAGGCUAAAACNCAAAGGAAUUGACGGGGGCCCGCACAAGCGGCGGAGCAUGCGGAUUAAUUCGAUGCAACGCGAAGAACCUUACCAAGGCUUGACAUGUGCCGGACCGUCCCAGAGAUGGGGCUUCCCUUCGGGGCCGGUUCACAGGUGGUGCAUGGUUGUCGUCAGCUCGUGUCGUGAGAUGUUGGGUUAAGUCCCGCAACGAGCGCAACCCUCGUUCCAUGUUGCCAGCACUUCGGGUGGGGACUCAUGGGAGACUGCCGGGGUCAACUCGGAGGAAGGUGGGGACGACGUCAAAUCAUCAUGCCCCUUAUGUCUUGGGCUUCACGCAUGCUACAAUGGCCGGUACAAAGGGUUGCGAUACUGUGAGGUGGAGCCAAUCCCAGAAAGCCGGUCUCAGUUCGGAUUGGGGUCUGCAACUCGACCCCAUGAAGUCGGAGUCGCUAGUAAUCGCAGAUCAGCAACGCUGCGGUGAAUACGUUCCCGGGCCUUGUACACACCGCCCGUCAAGUCACGAAAGUCGGUAACACCCGAAGCC